This 497-nucleotide ribosomal RNA is filed under the name uncultured bacterium. RNAcentral's name for it is "partial 16S ribosomal RNA". It matches the Rfam family "Bacterial small subunit ribosomal RNA", at positions 28 to 507 of the family's 1533-position model. The record is from RNAcentral.
GAUGAACGCUGGCGGCGUGCCUAAUACAUGCAAGUCGAGCGAACAGACGAGGAGCUUGCUCCUCUGACGUUAGCGGCGGACGGGUGAGUAACACGUGGAUAACCUACCUAUAAGACUGGGAUAACUUCGGGAAACCGGAGAUAAUACCGGAUAAUAUAUUGAACCGCAUGGAUCAAUAGUGAAAGACGGUUUUGCUGUGCCUAAUAGAUGGUUCCGCGCCGCAUUAGCUAGUUGGUAAGGUAACGGCUUACCAAGGCAACGAUGCGUAGCCGACCUGAGAGGGUGAUCGGCCACACUGGAACUGAGACACGGUCCAGACUCCUACGGGAGGCAGCAGUAGGGAAUCUUCCGCAAUGGGCGAAAGCCUGACGGAGCAACGCCGCGUGAGUGAUGAAGGUCUUCGGAUCGUAAAACUCUGUUAUUAGGGAAGAACAAAUGUGUAAGUAACUAUGCACGUCUUGACGGUACCUAAUCAGAAAGCCACGGCUAACUACGUG